GGUGUACAAGUGAAAAGCUCAGUGGCAAAUACCCGAAGACUAUUUUUGCUUGCAAUUUUAUUUUCUAUUCCCCCGCAUACAACACAAGCUGAUUCCUUGACGAAGAAACUGAAUGGCUAAAUGGAAAUUUACGCCAGUGAAAAACUAUUAUAAACACUGACUUGAAUUUUUACAGACUCAAAAAUCAAAUCACAGUCCAGUGUGGAAUCAGGAAUAGCCAAAUGUUUUUAUUUUUCCCAACCGGAAGUGAAUCCAAAAGUCAUACAAUAUGGUGGUUCUUGGACAGUUGAAUUUUGCGCCAUUAAAUGCACUUUUAAAGG
Non-coding RNA from Paramuricea clavata, 320 nucleotides. NCBI's taxonomy places the organism in Eukaryota, Metazoa, Cnidaria, Anthozoa, Malacalcyonacea, Plexauridae. The record is from the annotation of a GenBank genome assembly.